Molecule: unclassified non-coding RNA, 309 nt
Filed under: plant metagenome
Description: partial contains 5.8S ribosomal RNA, internal transcribed spacer 2, and large subunit ribosomal RNA
Rfam family: 5.8S ribosomal RNA (bases 1-105)
Source: RNAcentral
GAAAUGCGAUAAGUAGUGUGAAUUGCAGAAUUCAGUGAAUCAUCGAAUCUUUGAACGCACAUUGCGCCCCUUGGUAUUCCAUGGGGCAUGCCUGUUCGAGCGUCAUUUGUACCCUCAAGCUCUGCUUGGUGUUGGGUGUUUGUCCCGUCUCCGCGCGUGGACUCGCCCCAAAGUGAUUGGCAGCCGGCGUACUGGUCCCGGAGCGCAGCACAUGUCGCGCAAACGAGUGCCUUGGUACGGCGGCGUCCAUAAGCCCCUCUCUCACGCUCUUGACCUCCGAUCAGGUAGGGAUACCCGCUGAACUUAAGC